AGAGAGCUGGGCUGGAGCUCCAAGCGGAAACCGCGGGAGCCGAGCCCAGCUAGGAAUGCAGACCUCCUGAAAACCAAGCCGAGGACUGCGGGGUCCGGUGUCCACGCAGAGCAGCCAGAAAUUAGACAUAUUUGGAAUUAUUUCAUGCAUCAAGAGAAGCAACUGGAAUCCCUAGAGACACGAAUACAACUUCAGGAAAGAAAUCUGCUUUUCUAUUCUUUGAUGACUGACCUAGGCUUUGUGGCUAGCUCUUCUUCUUACUUACAAAAUUAUUAUCCCAUAAAAAAGCACUGGAAAACUAGAGUUUGGAAAGCAAUGAAAAUGAAGCAGUUGCCUUGUAGAACUGGAAGCUCAACUUCAUGCCUUAAAUGUGGAUUUUUUUUUUCUAAGUUCUUGGGGUGGUUCGGUAUCAGAGCUCAUAAUCAGACACUCAGAGAAUAUGGCCAGGUAUCCUUCUAGCUUGGAUUUAGAUCGCAGAUCAGCUGUGACUAUUGUCACAGUUGCUAGGCAACGUUUGUAUGUUUAUUUCGAGGUCUACCCACAUGUUGCAUCAGAGGCCAAAGCUCAUGUGCUCUGCACU
Molecule: small RNA, 580 nt
Filed under: Pan troglodytes (chimpanzee)
Lineage: Eukaryota; Metazoa; Chordata; Mammalia; Primates; Hominidae
Description: processed transcript
Source: RNAcentral